Long non-coding RNA from Anguilla anguilla (European eel), 305 nucleotides. RefSeq lists it as uncharacterized. The transcript is spliced from 3 exons. Lineage: Eukaryota; Metazoa; Chordata; Actinopteri; Anguilliformes; Anguillidae. The record is from RefSeq and is a predicted model, not a curated record.
UUGAACAUGGAACAAACGGAACAAACAACGAUUGCAAACUACUUUGAAGUUUUCACAGUGUGCCUCUUUGCCUUGGCUGCAAGGUGAUGUGGUGAUGAGCAUUAAAUGGAGAUAGUAAUAUGCAGUGAUAAGGCUAUCUGGCAGGAGGAAGAGCACAUACCCUGGAGAGGAUAAACAGAGGUCGAUCAGGUCUAGGGUUUUAACCUUGGCCUGUGAGUGCAAGUCACCUCAUUCAGAUCUCUGAAGUGAUGAGCAGGUGAAAGUGGUAGAAUGCAUGUUUCUACCCUCCUGAGCUAGAACCUCCA